GGUGUCUCCAAAUUCCAAAAGAAAAAAAAAAAAAAAUAGAAAAUACGGAGGAGGAGGAGCUGGAGGUUUCAGGGGAAAACAGGGGUGUUUUUUUUUUUGGUGAAGACGGCAUGAUAGAGAGUUCAGAGGAACGCUUAUCUUCGAUCAUCUUCUGGAAGCCAUGCCUUCUUUCGUGGUUUUUCCAAGUGGGAAAAUGCUCUUCACCAAGCAUUUGAUGAAAAAGGUGCGGAAUCUGCCACUUGGCCCCCAUUGAAAUCACAGACCAACCCAAUCUCUAAACCAUUCAUCCCGAUGAUUUUGUCAAGGAUCACGAUUUGAGGGAUGGACAGCAACCCCAUGUUUUCCUACAUCCAGAGAAGAAAAAAGGUUGAUGGAGAAGAUGUCAAUUCGGAGAAAGUUGAUGGGUUUUGGAAGAUUAUUCAAGCUGAUAUACCUGUGAAGGAAGAUGGGCGGAUUAUUGGGUACAAAAACAGAGUCGAAUUCUCUGGAAAUCAGAGAAGUGAAACUCAGUGGAGGAUGAAUGAAUACAGACUCAACCAAAAUGACGAAGAAAGCAACAUUACUGAGGUGGAUAUGUGGGUCGUAUGCAGGAUAUACAUGUACAGAUCGAAGGGUGAUGAAGAAGCUUGGGAUGAAGAUUGGUACUUCUCAUCAGAUGAUGAAGAGAUAAAACUCAGUUAAAGGAUUAGGCAGUACUAGUAGAGAUGAAGUCUCUAUGAACUUAUAAAGAAGUGCAUGAGCUCUCCACAUGGACUGGUGUACAUGGCAGCAAAGAAGCACUAUUUUGGGGUAGGUGGGGGAACACGACGAUUCCUAUCUGUGGUGGAGAAAGAUGGUCUUAUGGAUUUUAGCAUGGUUGCUGAAGUUGCUGAUGGUUCCUCUAAUGUACGAGAGGUAUGGAAGCUUUCAUUCAAGUAGGCUUGGAAUCACUUGGAACACUAAUGCCUUCCUGGAAUGAGACCAUUUUUUCCUAAUUCAUUUGUGCUCUGGGCCAAAUUUGCCAGCAUAGCCGUCCAUACGAAGAAUUAAUUUCAACAGAAAUUACUCUAUGCAAAAAGAAGGAAUGUAAUGUAAAAUAUGUACCAAGCUUAGAUAACUUCCUUUUAUUUUUCUUGUUUUGCUUUGCACUUUCUUCUCUGUAAAUUCUUUUGUACCAUAUUUUGGGUUUUUGCAACAAGGCUCAUGCUGCUAACCCUAAAUAGUUGGGAUGAUAUUAAGUUUAUUUUUCUAAAAGUUGUUUAUUUUUUAAGUAGUUGGGGAUCUUAAAUUCUCUUAUCCAUUACAUUUGUUUUGGUUUCUUUCA
Ziziphus jujuba (common jujube) is the source of this 1303-nucleotide long non-coding RNA. RefSeq lists it as uncharacterized. Lineage: Eukaryota; Viridiplantae; Streptophyta; Magnoliopsida; Rosales; Rhamnaceae. The transcript is spliced from 5 exons. The record is from RefSeq and is a predicted model, not a curated record.